GUGACUGCGAAGGGGGGACGGAGAAGGCUAGGCCAUCCGGGCGACGGUCGUCCCGGUUUAAGCGUGUAGGUGGGAGGAGCAGGCAAAUCCGCUCUUCUGUAAACACUGAGGCGUGAUGACGAGCCGCUACGGCGGUGAAGUGGUUGAUGCCCGGCUUCCAGGAAAAGCCUCUAAGCACCAGGUCACAGACAAUCGUACCCCAAACCGACACAGGUGGUCAGGUAGAGA
RNAcentral lists this ribosomal RNA (228 nucleotides) under Photorhabdus luminescens subsp. mexicana. RNAcentral describes it as "Photorhabdus sp. MEX47-22 partial 23S ribosomal RNA". It matches the Rfam family "Bacterial large subunit ribosomal RNA", at positions 1450 to 1677 of the family's 2925-position model. Lineage: Bacteria; Pseudomonadati; Pseudomonadota; Gammaproteobacteria; Enterobacterales; Morganellaceae. The record is from RNAcentral.